Molecule: ribosomal RNA, 253 nt
Filed under: uncultured bacterium
Lineage: Bacteria
Description: partial 16S ribosomal RNA
Rfam family: Bacterial small subunit ribosomal RNA
Source: RNAcentral
UACGUAGGGCGCAAGCGUUGUCCGGAAUUAUUGGGCGUAAAGAGCUCGUAGGCGGCCUGUUGCGUCCGCUGUGAAAUCCCGGGGCUCAACCCCGGGCGUGCAGUGGAUACGGGCUGGCUGGAGGCAGGCAGGGGAGAACGGAAUUCCUGGUGUAGCGGUGAAAUGCGCAGAUAUCAGGAGGAACACCGGUGGCGAAAGCGGCUCACUGGACCAUUACUGACGCUGAGGCACGAAAGCUAGGGGAGCAAACAGG